UAGGGUGAGGUGUAGUCUGGUACAGAUGUCUGUAGCUGAUGGGGUGAGGUGUAGUCUGGUAUAGAUGUCUGUAGCUGAUAGGGUGAGGUGUAGUCUGGUAUAGAUGUCUGUAGCUGAUGGGGUUAGGGUGAGGUGUAGUCUGGUAUAGAUGUCUGUAGCUGAUGGGGUGAGGUGUAGUCUGGUAUAGAUGUCUGUAGCUGAUGGGGUGAGGUGUAGUCUGGUAUAGAUGUCUGUAGCUGAUAGGGUUAGGUGUAGUCUGGUAUAGAUGUCUGUAGCUGAUGGGGUGAGGUGGUCUGGUAUAGUUGUCUGUAGCUGAUAGGGUGAGGUGUAGUCUGGUACAGAUGUCUGUAGCUGAUGGGGUGAGGUGUAGUCUGGUAUAGAUGUCUGUAGCUGAUAGGGUGAGGUGUAGUCUGGUAUAGAUGUCUGUAGCUGAUGGGGUUAGGGUGAGGUGUAGUCUGGUAUAGAUGUCUGUAGCUGAUAGGGUGAGGUGUAGUCUGGUAUAGAUGUCUGUAGCUGAUGGGGUGAGGUGUAGUCUGGUAUAGAUGUCUGUAGCUGAUGGGGUGAGGUGUAGUCUGGUAUAGAUGUCUGUAGCUGAUGGGGUGAGGUAUAGUCUGGUAUAGAUGUCUGUAGCUGAUGGGGUGAGGUGUAGUCUGGUAUAGAUGUCUGUAGCUGAUGGUGUGAGGUGUAGUCUGGUAUAGAUGUCUGUAGCUGAUGGGGUGAGGUGUAGUCUGGUAUAGAUGUCUGUAGCUGAUGGGGUGAGGUGUAGUCUGGUAUAGAUGUCUGUAGCUGAUGGGGUGGGGUGUAGUCUGGUAUAGAUGUCUGUAGCUGAUGGGGUGAGGUGUAGUCUGGUAUAGAUGUCUGUAGCUGAUGGGGUGAGGUGUAGUCUGGUAUAGAUGUCUGUAGCUGAUGGGGGUGAGGUGUAGUCUGGUAUAGAUGUCUGUAGCUGAUGGGGUGAGGUGUAGUCUGGUAUAGAUGUCUGUAGCUGAUGGGGGUGAG
Molecule: long non-coding RNA, 996 nt
Filed under: Salmo salar (Atlantic salmon)
Lineage: Eukaryota; Metazoa; Chordata; Actinopteri; Salmoniformes; Salmonidae
Description: lncRNA (ENSSSAG00000085830.1)
Source: RNAcentral